Molecule: long non-coding RNA, 411 nt
Filed under: Fukomys damarensis (Damara mole-rat)
Lineage: Eukaryota; Metazoa; Chordata; Mammalia; Rodentia; Bathyergidae
Description: lncRNA (ENSFDAG00000023746.1)
Source: RNAcentral
UUUAGGUGAAAAUUGCACAGGUUUUCAGCUCCCUGUUUUGAUUGCCUUUUGUCUCUGCAGGUCUCUCCUCCAUAGCUGCUCAUCUUCCUGUACCAUGGCUCUGGACACCACACUCUAAAGCUCCUGUCACCAGCACACCCUGCCCACAACAAAGAUGUAGGAAGGGUCUGCGAUCACCCGGCGGAGUGCGCGCGAGCUCCCGGCCUGCGCGGGAGCUCCCGGCCUGCGCGACAACAGACCCAGGAAGGACCCAAGGACCCCAGAGGGGGUUUUUUUCAGCUGCCUGCCUACCUGCCUGUCUGCGAUCACCCGGCGGCGUGCGCGUGAGCUCCCGGCCUGCGCGACAACAGACCCAGGAAGGAAGGUAGCCGCGCGGGCGCCCUUGAAACACCCACACGACCCCCCCCCCCG